CCCAAGGCAAUGGAGCGUCAGUACAAAAUAAUGUAUAGAGUAUGAAAGGCAAUAGACUAUGAGGAGGUACCCUGAUAUACUGGAAUAAUCUGAUAAAUAAAUCAAGAAUAAGAUAAGUGUACUGACCUGCUCCUAAAACUAAACUUAUCAAAAAUAAUAAAACAACAACCUAACCAAGCCCCCAUAAGCUCGGCAGGUACAAACAUCACAUAAAAC
RNAcentral lists this long non-coding RNA (216 nucleotides) under Solanum tuberosum (potato). Its description in RNAcentral is "long non-coding RNA (STUB_LNC005007)". The record is from RNAcentral. Lineage: Eukaryota; Viridiplantae; Streptophyta; Magnoliopsida; Solanales; Solanaceae.